AUUGAACGCUGGCGGCAGGCCUAACACAUGCAAGUCGAGCGGAUGAAGGGAGCUUGCUCCUGGAUUCAGCGGCGGACGGGUGAGUAAUGCCUAGGAAUCUGCCUGGUAGUGGGGGAUAACGUCCGGAAACGGGCGCUAAUACCGCAUACGUCCUGAGGGAGAAAGUGGGGGAUCUUCGGACCUCACGCUAUCAGAUGAGCCUAGGUCGGAUUAGCUAGUUGGUGGGGUAAAGGCCUACCAAGGCGACGAUCCGUAACUGGCCUGAGAGGAUGAUCAGUCACACUGGAACUGAGACACGGUCCAGACUCCUACGGGAGGCAGCAGUGGGGAAUAUUGGACAGUGGGCGAAAGCCUGAUCCAGCCAUGCCGCGUGUGUGAAGAAGGUCUUCGGAUUGUAAAGCACUUUAAGUUGGGAGGAAGGGCAGUAAGUUAAUACCUUGCUGUUUUGACGUUACCAACAGAAUAAGCACCGGCUAACUUCGUG
RNAcentral lists this ribosomal RNA (484 nucleotides) under uncultured bacterium. RNAcentral's name for it is "partial 16S ribosomal RNA". It matches the Rfam family "Bacterial small subunit ribosomal RNA", at positions 30 to 507 of the family's 1533-position model. The record is from RNAcentral.